CCUACGGGAGGCAGCAGUGAGGAAUAUUGGUCAAUGGGCGCAAGCCUGAACCAGCCAAGUCGCGUGAGGGAUGACGGUCCUAUGGAUUGUAAACCUCUUUUGUCGGGGAGCAAGGCCCGCCACGUGUGGCGGGAAGGAGAGUACCCGAAGAAAAAGCAUCGGCUAACUCCGUGCCAGCAGCCGCGGUAAUACGGAGGAUGCGAGCGUUAUCCGGAUUUAUUGGGUUUAAAGGGUGCGUAGGCGGAAGGUUAAGUCAGCGGUAAAAUGUCGGUGCUCAACACCGUCCUGCCGUUGAAACUGGUCUUCUUGAGUGAGCGAGAAGUAGGCGGAAUGCGUGGUGUAGCGGUGAAAUGCGUAGAGAUCACGAAGAACUCUGAUUGCGAAGGCAGCAUACCGGCGCUCAACUGACGCUGAGGCACGAAAGCGUGGGGAUCGAACAGGAUUAGAUACCCCAGUAGUC
This 460-nucleotide ribosomal RNA is filed under the name uncultured bacterium. Its description in RNAcentral is "partial 16S ribosomal RNA". It matches the Rfam family "Bacterial small subunit ribosomal RNA", at positions 338 to 795 of the family's 1533-position model. The record is from RNAcentral.